RNAcentral lists this ribosomal RNA (253 nucleotides) under uncultured bacterium. Its description in RNAcentral is "partial 16S ribosomal RNA". It matches the Rfam family "Bacterial small subunit ribosomal RNA", at positions 524 to 776 of the family's 1533-position model. The record is from RNAcentral.
UACGUAGGGCGCAAGCGUUGUCCGGAAUUAUUGGGCGUAAAGAGCUCGUAGGCGGCUUGUCACGUCGGAUGUGAAAGCCCGGGGCUUAACCCCGGGUCUGCAUUCGAUACGGGCAGGCUAGAGUGUGGUAGGGGAGAUCGGAAUUCCUGGUGUAGCGGUGAAAUGCGCAGAUAUCAGGAGGAACACCGGUGGCGAAGGCGGAUCUCUGGGCCAUUACUGACGCUGAGGAGCGAAAGCGUGGGGAGCGAAUGGG